Small nuclear RNA from Mus pahari (shrew mouse), 105 nucleotides. The record is from RefSeq and is a predicted model, not a curated record. NCBI's taxonomy places the organism in Eukaryota, Metazoa, Chordata, Mammalia, Rodentia, Muridae.
GUGUUCAAUACAGCAGCACAUGUACUAAAACUGGAACAAUACAGAGGUGAUUAGAAUGGCCCCCGAAAGAAAGACAUGCAAAUUCAUGAAGUUUUCCAUAUAUAU